RNAcentral lists this long non-coding RNA (203 nucleotides) under Ananas comosus (pineapple). Its description in RNAcentral is "long non-coding RNA (ACOM_LNC031885)". The record is from RNAcentral. Lineage: Eukaryota; Viridiplantae; Streptophyta; Magnoliopsida; Poales; Bromeliaceae.
UCAUCGAUUGCUAGCGAGUGAAGUUGUUACAUUUAAUAUCAAUGUCAUUUUUUUGUCGAAAAUGUGAAUGAGUCUUGAUUGAGUCAGGUCUGAAUGAUAGGCUAAAUCAAUAUCUGUAAAUGACAUUUUGAGGAGUAAAACAGAAAAUUUCUAUAUAUAUUUACCAUCCAAUUGUUAUUCUAAUUAUCUAUACCAAAAUAUAA